GGACUACUGGGGUUUCUAAUCCUGUUUGCUCCCCACGCUUUCGUGUCUCAGCGUCAGUAUCUGUCCAGUUGGCCGCCUUCGCCACCGGUGUUCCUCUCGAUAUCUACGAAUUUCACCUCUACACCGAGAAUUCCACCAACCUCUCCAGUACUCGAGCCAAGCAGUAUCGAGUGCACUUUCUGGGUUGAGCCCAGAGCUUUCACACCCGACUUACCUGGCCGCCUACACACGCUUUACGCCCAGUAAUUCCGAACAACGUUUGCACCCUCUGUCUUACCGCGGCGGCUGGCAC
Molecule: ribosomal RNA, 292 nt
Filed under: uncultured bacterium
Lineage: Bacteria
Description: partial 16S ribosomal RNA
Source: RNAcentral